UUCAAUGUGGUGGAGGUGCACCGUAAGGAACUAUUGUUGUUACUUUUUGGUUUUUCUAUUUGGUUUCAAUUGAAGAAUUAAAAAGUUAUAGAUCAAGGUCCAUCGUAAGGGCUAAUUAAGGUUGUUUUUUCUUACCUUUUGGUUGGUUUCAUGUAGGUUUGUAAACUUUUUUGGGUUUUAUCAUGUUGAUUUGCUUUUUGUUGCUCACCUGGUCAGUGGAAAGUUAAUGGAUGAAUUUGAAGUACAAUUUACUUUUUGGUGAACUUUUGAUAGGAUAAAGUUGUUCGAUUGUUUAGUGUGUGAAAUUGCUUUCAAUUGUUGCUAUAUAAGGGCGUGUUUCUGACUUUUGAGAGGCAAUUCUCAUUCACACUGAUAUGCUAUCUGGUCUGUGCUAUCUCCUAAUUGCUAUUUUCAUCUUGCUGUGAUCUCUGUCCGGUUUAUUCUAAUGGCUUCAUUUGCUGCUGUGGACAAUGGGAAUCAUAUUUUGGGAGCCAAUCUUAGUGAUACCAAUCUCUAAAAUUUGCAUCGAGAUUGCAGGCAAGAAGUCCAAAGUACAUAUCUUUUCUCAACCAUCAUCGCAUAUACAUACAUGAGCUAUCUCACUUGAAGCAGAUUGCUGGAAACUAAACAAGGUCAAAGGGGAAGAGAUAGCAGCAUUAUAAAGCUAGAGAUCUUAUAGAUGCAGAUUUUAAGCAACAAGACAAACACAGGGAAUGAUCCAAGUGUACAAGAAAUGGGGCAGUUGAACCACAAGAGAAAAUUUCCUUAAAAAAUGGUAUUUUGAUGUUAUAUUUGCUCCCCUCAAAAUUUGUAUUAUGCCUACUCUAAUCAAGCAUGGUUAAUUUUGUUUAAUGUGUUGAAUUUCCGCCCCUCGCCCAUAAUUUUUCUCGCCCCGUCCUUCCCUAGGGAAGAAGAUGCACUUCCUUUUCCUGUCUGAGUUAUACAAAUAGAAAAUCACAAUGCAAGCCCCAUCAAGAGAUGAAUGAGUAAAGGGAGUGAGUAUUAGAACAAAGACUACGCCAUAAAAGAGGAGGUUGACUCUGCUAUGCAGUAGUAUCGGAUGUAUUUUCAUAAAUGACAAUGGAACAUGAAACAAAGAGGUAUUCUGAUGACAGGAGAACAUCAUUUUAAAAGAAAUAUUGAUGAAUCAUACAGGUUAAUGUUCAUGAACAAUUGUCAAUUUUCCAUAUCUUUGAUGUACUGUGUUUUUCAUUCUUCCUUUGUUUUUUAUGAACCUUCAACUUUAUGCUUCUUUUUUCCUUAGUUUCAAACAAUGCUUCUUAUGUAACCUGUUUUCUACUUUGCCUUGUGAUAUGCAAAAUACUAAGCAGACAUUUAUGCUAGCAACCAGGACAGCAGAGGCUGAUUUGUUGCUCACAGUUUGUAUACUCUUGAUUGACUCUACCGAGCACUUCAUCUUAUUCAAAGUUAGUGGGAAUCAGGGACAUUUUACUUUGGUUAAGAUUUUCCUAAUCUUAGUUGUGCUGAUUGUGUUAGGUGAAAAAAUAUAUAUAUAACUGAAUGUAGGUGCAAUUUUUUUUACAUAUUGCGUUAUAUGUGUAUUAUGUUAAAAUAAAAUUUUAAUUAAAAUAUAAAAGCAUCUGUGCA
Molecule: long non-coding RNA, 1608 nt
Organism: Lotus japonicus
Lineage: Eukaryota; Viridiplantae; Streptophyta; Magnoliopsida; Fabales; Fabaceae
Exons: 3
Source: RefSeq, a predicted model, not a curated record